Molecule: long non-coding RNA, 3718 nt
Filed under: Sus scrofa (pig)
Lineage: Eukaryota; Metazoa; Chordata; Mammalia; Artiodactyla; Suidae
Description: lncRNA (ENSSSCG00000054910.1)
Source: RNAcentral
AGCAAUUUGCUGGAUAAAUAUUGCUGUGUAAAUCAACAAUCACUUCCCAAUAAUUAAAAGCCAAGUCAGGUGUUAUUGAAAAACCCAUGGUGUGUGCUCCAGCUCUGGAAAUGUUGCCCCUUGCAGCUGUGGCUGGAGUGGAAGUAGCCCGAAGACGGUAUGGGUGGUCUGGGCUGGCCACCCCUUGAAACCCAGAUUUGGUGGGAGAGAGCUGGAGGUGCUGGCAAUGGCUGGAGGGCUGGGGUGUGAGGCUGGGCCUCUCAGUACUCCACAGAUGGUGGAAGUAAAUGUGAGAAACAGAUUUGGUCAUAGCUUUAUGAUUAGCAUGAGUCAGUCUAGAGCAGUGGUUACUUGCAUGGAUUUGGGAAUCCAACAGAUAUAGGUGAGAGCCCCAGGUCAGAUCACACUUGCUGGCUGUGUGACCCAGACAAGGCAUUUCUCUUCUCUGAGACCUUCAUCUCUAAAGGUCUUCUUCUGUGAAGGACCUUCACCCUCAGGCCCUUCGACUGAGUCUAAUGUAAAAGUCUCACUUCACUGAGUGAGAAUGAUUGGAUGGAAUGCAUGUCCUUAGCUCACCAUGCUCAUUCAACAAAGAUCGCUGGUUGAUUGUUGUUUAUUGUGUCUCUUCUGGGUGACUUGCUCUGGGUCUAAUCUCUGUGCCCCAGUGCCUCUUACCUUGAAGCCCUUUCCCAGUGCUGCCCACCCAAAGAAGGUAGUGGAUUAAAUCUUUGCCCAUUAACUCUUUACUCAGCCUCUCUUCAAAAUAUCAUCCUGUCUAUAAAGCAGAAUGCUAAUGACUGACUGGACUCCUCCCUAGUUGCUGGCUUGGCUGGGAUGGAAGGAAGGAGGGCAAGGAUGGCCCAGCUGGUGGGGUACUGUAGGGCCAGGGCUACCAGAGGGGCACUCCCACCACUAACUUGUGUGGACUCAAACCUGAAGAACCCGUGGCACUUGGGGUGGAUGGGAAGCUGAGUCCUGUGGCUCAGGAAGAUUGAAAAGAGUGUGGACAAAGAUGGUGAACAAGAUGGCAGACUAAGAUCUUUUGUUUAAACUGCUUCCUCCCCUCCUUGCAUUCCUUCUGAAAUUACUAUAUAGGGGUAACUAUUUAUAUAGGGAUAAAAAACUAGGGGAGCACGGAGGACAUGUGCCACCAGGCACACACGAGUGUGACACUGAUGCAUUAGAAACUUGAAGAAUUUCGACUGAGACCAGAGGAAUUUGCCUGGGGAAAGAGCUGGUCAUUUGGAGACACACUAUGUGAGGAGGAGGAGCCAUCUCUGGGGUUUUCAGAGCUUCCGGUGAUGGUGCAUCUACUGUGUGCCAGAUCCUGGGCUGAGAAAGUCACCCACAGAGUGAGCCCUCAGCACAGCACACGGAUGUGGUGCCGUCACGUACCUCAUUUUGCACAAGAAGGAACUGAGACCGGGAGGGUCUGUCCCUUGUUCAUGGUUAUACAGCUAAUGAGUGGCUGGACUGGGACUUGAAGCCAUGCCCAUCUAACUCCUGAGCCCAUUAACUACCUGGCUGGGUGGCCUCCCUAGGUGUAGAACCCCAUAACCCACAAGCACAGGGAGGCAGCUGAAGAUGAGGUGAGCAGGGGCAGUAGGCAGGAGCAGUUUUCGUGACUACCUCAGGCACCAACCAAAGUGCCAUCUUACAGUUGUCCUCAGAGGCUGGCUCAGAAGAGUGAGUUGCAGCUGCAGCUGGGUCCUGGUGCGACUGGCCAGGCCAGAUAGAGAGGGAGGGCAGCAUCCAAGCAACAUGGAGUUGUAACCCCAGCUUCAGAAACGAGGCUUACCAGCAGAGCAGGGCUGUUCCCAUGAUGUUUGUGCUUUAGUAUCUCACCCUUCUUACUUCCCUCAGACAGCAAAACCCAGAAAUAGCAAACUAAACCUUCAGCGAACCCAAACGUUUCCUCAUCUGGGUCUGGAAGAUUAGAACAGGGUUGGAAAAAUGCUUACCGUGAGGAUGAGUGAACGGAGGAAGACCACUGGCCCUGUGAAAAGACAGCAGAUCACAAUGAAGGAGGGGAUUCAAAUGCUUCCCUUUGAGAUAAACUUCCUGCCAGAAUCAGCAGAAGUCUUUAGGAAAUCUCUAAUUUGUGUGCCCAAUGAGAUUCAAAGGGACAUUGCAUGCCUGAAAAAAGGAUACUCUGAGACUAGAAAAGCUUGUUUUCAGCUGAAAAGUGCAAUUGCUGUAUUUAUAAAGACAGUGGAGGCAGAAAAUAGCUGAUUGAACACCACAGAAACAGAAUCCAUGGUGUUAAAAGGUGGGCCCUAAAAAAAUCUUCCAAUAAUUCAGAAGAAAAGAGUAAAGGAAUGGACGUGAUUAGCGAAAAGACACCUUGAAGAAAGACCCACAUAUAGGACAAAGUGAGCGAUAGUUAAAGGAAUAAUUAAACCAAGCUGCCCUUUGACUGUUAGGUAAAGUUAAGGAAAAGAGACGUAUAGCUAGGUGAAAUAAUUGGAUUUCAAGGAUUAAAGGGGGAAAGUCCUAUAAAUAUACAGGCAGGAAAACAUGUUGCCAACUGCAUUUUUACAGAAUAGAUUUGGCAAAGUAUGCAGACUGCCAAAGUAACAAUGGCUAGAACAGUAUGUAAUCUUUCUUUUUCAUAUUUAAUAGUACAAAAGUAGGUGAUUCAAGGUUGGCAUGGGGCCUCUGCUCUCUGAGGUUUCCCAGUGCUCUGAAGCAGUGGGGCAUAGACUUCUGUCUUGUUACUCUGCCAUUCUCAGGGUGUUAACUUCAUCUGAAAGGAUCCUUGUUACAAGUGGCGGAAUGGAGUAAUAAUAAAAUAGGGCAGGAGUUCCUGUCAUGGCUCAGCAGUAAUGAAUCUGACUCAUAUACAUGAGGAUGAGGUUUGAUCCCUGGCCUCCUUCAAUGGGUUAAGUAUCUGGCAGUUGCUAUGAGCUGUAUACAUCACAAAUGUGGCUCAUAUCCCGUUUUGCUGUCGCUGUGGUGUAGACCAAUUCAACCCCUAGCCUGGGAACUUCCAUAUGCUGCUGGUGCAGCCCUAAAAAGGACCUAAAUAAAUGAAUAAAUAAAUAAAAAUAAAAUAGGGCAUACUUCCCCCUCCUCCCUUUAAAAUCACCACCCAGAGGUUCUGCACAUAAUGCUAUUCCCAUUCCAUUGGCCAGAACAUAGUCACAUGACUACUCCUUGCUGCAAGGGAGGCUGGGAAAUGAAGUGUUUAUUCCGAGAAGCCAUGUGCUCUGCUCAAUAUUAGAGUUUUGUUAUUAUGAGAGAAGAGAAUGGUUACUGGAGAACUUUUACCCCAGUGCACUAAAACUGGAAAUUAAAGAUAAAAUGAGGGGAAAAACCCCCCACAAACUCAACAAUUCUCUACCACCUAGAAACUUAAAAAACUCUGUUAACUAGCACUUGUGUUAAAGAGGAAAUAUCAGCAGAAACUGCAGAAAAUCUAGAAAAUAAAGUAAACAAUGUUAUCAGAAUAUGUGGGAAAUAGAGUAAUACUCAAAGGAAAAGCUUUGAAUAUUGAUAUCAAAAAACAAGAAAGAUGAAAAUGAGAAAAGUGAACCUCUGAUUACAUUAGGAAGAAAGCAGCAGGCCAAACCAGAGGAAAGCAGAAGCAAGAAACCUACAAACAUAAAAGGAGAAAUUAUGAGUUAAUAAGCAGAAAAAUAGAAGUGAUUUUAUGAGGAAAUCAAUAAAAUAAACCACAAGAUAAACUAAUUAAGAUAAUGGGCAAGAAAUCCUAAAU